GGCUGUAUAGUCUAGUCGUAUGAUACUCGCUUUGGGUACACAUGUUUCGUGCUUGCGAGAGGUCCCGAGUUCAAUUCUCGGUGCAGCCC
RNAcentral lists this transfer RNA (89 nucleotides) under Calocera cornea HHB12733. It matches the Rfam family "tRNA". From Rfam's summary of the family: Transfer RNA (tRNA) molecules are approximately 80 nucleotides in length. Their secondary structure includes four short double-helical elements and three loops (D, anti-codon, and T loops). Further hydrogen bonds mediate the characteristic L-shaped molecular structure. tRNAs have two regions of fundamental functional importance: the anti-codon, which is responsible for specific mRNA codon recognition, and the 3' end, to which the tRNAs corresponding amino acid is attached (by aminoacyl-tRNA synthetases). tRNAs cope with the degeneracy of the genetic code in two manners: having more than one tRNA (with a specific anti-codon) for a particular amino acid; and 'wobble' base-pairing, i.e. permitting non-standard base-pairing at the 3rd anti-codon position. The record is from Rfam by way of RNAcentral. Lineage: Eukaryota; Fungi; Basidiomycota; Dacrymycetes; Dacrymycetales; Dacrymycetaceae.